Molecule: transfer RNA, 74 nt
Filed under: Acryllium vulturinum (vulturine guineafowl)
Lineage: Eukaryota; Metazoa; Chordata; Aves; Galliformes; Numididae
Description: tRNA-Val
Source: RNAcentral
CAAGACGUAGCUAUAAACUCCCAAAGCAUUCAGCUUACACCUGAAAGAUAUUUCCACAAACGAAAUCGUCUUGA